Sarcophilus harrisii (Tasmanian devil) is the source of this 1798-nucleotide long non-coding RNA. RefSeq lists it as uncharacterized. The transcript has 3 exons. The record is from RefSeq and is a predicted model, not a curated record. Lineage: Eukaryota; Metazoa; Chordata; Mammalia; Dasyuromorphia; Dasyuridae.
GAGGCAGAAUAACUAAAUAGGACAAUUGGAGAAACUGGGUGGGUCAAGACAUUAAAAAGGGAACUUUGGCACAACAAUUAGUUGUUACACAUGAAGCAUCUUAGGCAUUUACUCCUUUCUCUUUGCUCAUAUGAACAUUACUUAUCCUGGUUUACACUCUUGUUGUCUCUAGGUAGGAGUAUUUAAAUAAUAUUUUUCUAAAUAGCGUUGUUAUUGAUAACUUUUCUUUAAAAGAUUGUCAAUAUAUCUCCGUGUUUUUUCUCACUUGCAUAGAUUUCUCACAUACUUUAUAAAUACUUUACAACACUGAAUAGAAAAGGCAAAAAGGGAAAAACAUUAGCCACCCCAAAGCAUUGAAAUUAUAGGCAAUAUUAAAGUCUCUUGUACUUCCAAUUGUGCAAGGAGGUGAGGCUAGAGAAUCCCUUCUUAAACCUCCUAUUGCAAGGUCUGGCUUGAUGUUGCAAGUCUGUAAAGAUAAAAACGGCCUUCAUUGAGAUGCAGAUUAAAGAAAGAUUCCUUCAGAUAUGUCAUUAGAAUUUCUUUUCUGAAUUUGUCAGUCUGGACUGCUGGGAAUUUACUCCUGUUUAUUAGGUUUCUUAGAAGGUUUUCCCUUGAUGAAAUUAGUAGCCUGAAUGCUUUUGAUCUUAUGGAUCUUUCUUACUUACAAUUUUUGUAAGUUGGUUCAAAGUCCUUAUGAUACUACCACAUAUCUGUCUUGGAAGCGGUUUGUGCAGGAAAUGACUUAUCUCUUUCAAAACCCUUUUUCUGACUGGGGGAAUAAUUCAUCAGAGCAUACAUUCAGAGUCUUCUCAGUUUAUUGAUUUCACAAAUUUUGACUUGAUUUUUAUUAGAAAUUUGUUUUACUUGUCUCUUCUAAAAAAGGUUUCUUGUCCUGAGGAGAACACAGGAGAAGCUUUGGAAUUAAAAACUUCCACUAAGGAGAAGAAAAAUAAAGAAAAUGUAUUUGUUAAGGAUCUGGAAAAUUUAAAUGCUGAUGCUUCAUAAAUGGGUAUCUCGCUGGACAGCCAGGAACACUCAUGAACUUGCAAGGGGUUUAAGAAUGUUAGAAUCCUUUUGGAAAUUGUAAUAGCUUCCUAAUCAAAUUACAAAAGUUACAGAAAUUGGUACUGCCAUCAUUUUAAUGAGAAUAAACUAAAUGGAAUGUAGACUACAAACAUGAAAAAAGGGUAGCUACUUUUAAAGAGCCUCUUUGUAAUCUAGUGUCACUCUAAAAGCUUGGAGAUGCCUGAACAAUCGGGUAUGUUGAGACUAGCUGAAAAAAUUCUAUAUGUGACAGAAACAGUAAUAAUAUCAUGAACUAAUCUCUAUGAAUUUAAGGAAAAUUCUAGAGACAUCUUUGUGAAUGGAUAUAAUCCCACCUUAGAACCAUAAUAAAACAUAAGCAAUAAUUGAGUAAGCACUCACACUAAAACCCUAUUAAGACACACAAGAGAAAAAUAAGAAGUUGUCAAUAAUAGAUUUCCAAGCAUGGAAUUCAGUACACUUGAUUUACUCAACUCUUAAAAGUGAAAGAAGUGGGGAUACAAACACAAGACCCUUAAUAGUCAAAUGAGUAUUCUUCUCUGUUGAAAAACACUCUGGUCUUUUUGUUUUACAGAGAAAAUGAACAGAACCAAAGUAAAAGAAGAUGAAAUGGAAACUAAGAAAGAGUCAAGGCCUCCCAGGCGAAAAAUCCAACAAAUGUGGCAUGCCCUGGUGAAAAGAUUGCGCCCAAGGCGCAAUCAAGUGAGGCCAGAAGAGUUGAACGUAGAAGAGGGAAAAGAUAUAUCAAAUAUGC